This 587-nucleotide long non-coding RNA is filed under the name Sinocyclocheilus grahami. RNAcentral's name for it is "lncRNA (ENSSGRG00000051587.1)". Lineage: Eukaryota; Metazoa; Chordata; Actinopteri; Cypriniformes; Cyprinidae. The record is from RNAcentral.
UUAGAUUUUUAUUGUUGGUGGAGCUCACAGUGUUAUUGUAUUAAAAAGAGCCAUCUGUGCCAGAAACAAUGGCUUCAUAUUAUCUCUGAAUACCCAGUGAAAAAAAUAUAUAAAGCUUUCUCCUUUCUCAUUAUGUUUGGUGGGGGGUUUUUGUAGACUUGCUAUAAGUGACUUUUGUUGUUCUUGAUGCGUUCUUCUUUUUCAAUCGGCCCCUUUUCAGAUGGUGUGGAGCUGUAGAGGGACUGAGGCGGGUGAAAGCAGCCGCGCAGCGAGCACUCUGAGCCGGCACACGGAGCGAGUGGACGCUGAUGGAUCACGAGAGCGGCCGCCGGAGGAGAGCGCGGCCGGAAAGAGCGCCUGCUCGCUGGGCGCGCAUGUAAGGAUCCGCCCGGGAGGCAGACGGAGCUCUGGAUGUGUCAGUCAAACUGAGUUGGAAACGAGGACUGUGAGCGACACCCACAGCGUUUAAGUUUCUUGCCUCCUUGGGGAGAUAAAACGGCCCAAAUGAAAUGAAGACGCACGUCAAGGUAGUCACUUAACUUUAUUUCUUACUAGCUAUUUUUAUAUGAGUGCAAGAAUUUAGAACG